This is a long non-coding RNA of Grus americana (Whooping crane), 836 nucleotides long. RefSeq lists it as uncharacterized. The record is from RefSeq and is a predicted model, not a curated record. The transcript has 4 exons. Lineage: Eukaryota; Metazoa; Chordata; Aves; Gruiformes; Gruidae.
AAAAUUAGAAAAAAAAAAAACGUUACAGGCCGCAAUCCUCGCACAGGCAGAGCAGUUGCUUCUGCUAACAGCAACGCCCGGAUUGAGGGCUGGGGCUGGCAGCAGCCGGUGCAACGGCGUUGUAGGGAACAGGCAAACGCCGCCCUGCGGCUGCAGCACCCCGAAAGGCGCCUUUUUUUUUUUUUUUUUUUUGAAAGAUUAUUUUCUUCCCUUGUGGCACCUCACUCAGCAAAACAACUUCGCGUGAACUCCCAGAGGAAGCCUCGCCCGGCCUCUCCUGCUUCCUUUAAUGGACAAGGACAAUGGCAAAGUCUCGCCACAGCACCGCGUUUUUGGGAAACUCGUAUUUUCUCCAUCUCCCCGGCUCCCUCUGCUGUGGCUAUUGCACAUGUCUACUCCGGCUUCACUACAUCAGCCUCUGGCACAAGUCUGUGGGAUAACGGAAGCCACUCUUGCACCGGGAGUAUCUACAGCCAUUUUAUUUCAGCUAAACAUUCUAAAUGCUGGACAAGAUCGUUCCUGCUUCUGUUUCCAGAUGACCAAACAUGGUCCCUUUGGGUGGGCUAACAGCAGGGCUGCAACCCCACAGCAUCCUUGUUAUCAUCUAGGACUUCCUGCAGUCUGACUGAAAGAACAGGCAGCCAGCUCUGUCGGAGUGGGUGGAAUUCAAUUGCGUGCACACAGAAUUAAUCUUAAACACAAGAAAGAACUUGCCCUCAUGCCACAAUUAUCUUCUGGAGUGAACAUUAGAUGUCUACAAUCUUCCUGGCAGGGAGUCACACAAGGAGCUGAAGAUCUAGAGCCAGCAGUUAACUAACAAGAAACUUACUGGGUAG